GGGACAUUUGCAGCCCGGGGACAUUUCCAGCUAUCUUCUCCUUACAUGGGCUUGGGGGGAGGCCGUGGGGCUGCACCCGCUGGCCUGAAGCGGGGCGGGGGGGUCCGGUCCUUGCGGGCCUCCCGUGAGCGGUUCCUCACCACCUUACUGUGGAUGGCACAGCUGACGCAGUAGUGCAGCUUCACGUACAGCUUGGGCAGGACAUAGGAGUCGAAGACGCU
This 221-nucleotide unclassified non-coding RNA is filed under the name Hevea brasiliensis (rubber tree). Lineage: Eukaryota; Viridiplantae; Streptophyta; Magnoliopsida; Malpighiales; Euphorbiaceae. The record is from RNAcentral.